Molecule: ribosomal RNA, 276 nt
Filed under: uncultured bacterium
Lineage: Bacteria
Description: partial 16S ribosomal RNA
Rfam family: Bacterial small subunit ribosomal RNA
Source: RNAcentral
UACGAAGGGGGCAAGCGUUGUUCGGAAUUACUGGGCGUAAAGGGCGUGUAGGCGGAUCGACCAGUCAGGGGUGAAAUCCCGGGGCUCAACCUCGGAACUGCCUUUGAUACUGUCGAUCUAGAGUCUGUGAGAGGGUGGCGGAAUACCCAGGUGUAGAGUGAAAUUCGUAGAUAUUGGGUAGAACACCAGUGGCGAAGGCGGCCACCUGGCACAGUACUGACGCUGAGGCGCGAAAGCGUGGGGGAGCAAAACAGGAUUAGAUACCCCCGGUAGUCC